RNAcentral lists this ribosomal RNA (916 nucleotides) under uncultured bacterium. RNAcentral describes it as "bacterial SSU rRNA". It matches the Rfam family "Bacterial small subunit ribosomal RNA", at positions 246 to 1155 of the family's 1533-position model. The record is from RNAcentral.
UUGUUGGUAAGGUAAAAGCUUACCAAGGCUUCGAUCAGUAGCUGGUCUGAGAGGACGACCAGCCACACUGGGACUGAGACACGGCCCAGACUCCUACGGGAGGCAGCAGUGGGGAAUUUUGGACAAUGGGGGCAACCCUGAUCCAGCCAUGCCGCGUGAGUGAAGAAGGCCUUCGGGUUGUAAAGCUCUUUCAGCCGGAACGAAACGGUUACGGUUAAUACCCGUGACUACUGACGGUACCGGAAGAAGAAGCACCGGCUAACUACGUGCCAGCAGCCGCGGUAAUACGUAGGGUGCGAGCGUUAAUCGGAAUUACUGGGCGUAAAGCGUGCGCAGGUGGUUUUGUAAGUCAGAUGUGAAAGCCCCGGGCUCAACCUGGGAACUGCGUUUGAAACUACAAGACUAGAGUGUGGCAGAGGGGGGUGGAAUUCCGCGUGUAGCAGUGAAAUGCGUAGAGAUGUGGAGGAACACCGAUGGCGAAGGCAGCCCCCUGGGUCAACACUGACGCUCAGGCACGAAAGCAUGGGGAGCAAACAGGAUUAGAUACCCUGGUAGUCCAUGCCCUAAACGAUGUCAACUAGUUGUCGGGCCUUUACGGGCUUGGUAACGUAGCUAACGCGUGAAGUUGACCGCCUGGGGAGUACGAUCGCAAGAUUAAAACUCAAAUGAAUUGACGGGGACCCGCACAAGCGGUGGAUUAUGUGGAUUAAUUCGAUGCAACGCGAAAAACCUUACCUACCCUUGACAUGUAUCGAAGCCCGCAGUAAAGCGGGGGUGCCCGAAAGGGAACGAUAACACAGGUGCUGCAUGGCUGUCGUCAGCUCGUGUCGUGAGAUGUUGGGUUAAGUCCCGCAACGAGCGCAACCCUUGUCAUUAAUUGCCAUCAUUUAGUUGGGCACUUUAAUGAGACUGCCGG